This 711-nucleotide ribosomal RNA is filed under the name Microbacterium sp. RNAcentral's name for it is "bacterial SSU rRNA". It matches the Rfam family "Bacterial small subunit ribosomal RNA", at positions 644 to 1352 of the family's 1533-position model. The record is from RNAcentral. Lineage: Bacteria; Bacillati; Actinomycetota; Actinomycetes; Micrococcales; Microbacteriaceae.
GAGUGCGGUAGGGGAGAUUGGAAUUUCCUGGUGUAGCGGUGGAAUGCGCAGAUAUCAGGAGGAACACCGAUGGCGAAGGCAGAUCUCUGGGCCGUAACUGACGCUGAGGAGCGAAAGGGUGGGGAGCAAACAGGCUUAGAUACCCUGGUAGUCCACCCCGUAAACGUUGGGAACUAGUUGUGGGGACCAUUCCACGGUUUCCGUGACGCAGCUAACGCAUUAAGUUCCCCGCCUGGGGAGUACGGCCGCAAGGCUAAAACUCAAAGGAAUUGACGGGGACCCGCACAAGCGGCGGAGCAUGCGGAUUAAUUCGAUGCAACGCGAAGAACCUUACCAAGGCUUGACAUAUACGAGAACGGGCCAGAAAUGGUCAACUCUUUGGACACUCGUAAACAGGUGGUGCAUGGUUGUCGUCAGCUCGUGUCGUGAGAUGUUGGGUUAAGUCCCGCAACGAGCGCAACCCUCGUUCUAUGUUGCCAGCACGUAAUGGUGGGAACUCAUGGGAUACUGCCGGGGUCAACUCGGAGGAAGGUGGGGAUGACGUCAAAUCAUCAUGCCCCUUAUGUCUUGGGCUUCACGCAUGCUACAAUGGCCGGUACAAAGGGCUGCAAUACCGUGAGGUGGAGCGAAUCCCAAAAAGCCGGUCCCAGUUCGGAUUGAGGUCUGCAACUCGACCUCAUGAAGUCGGAGUCGCUAGUAAUCGCAGAUCAG